AAAGAGGAACCUUCUCAGAAGUGAGUCUGGCCCAGGACCCAAAGCGGCAGCAAAGGAAACCUAAAGGCAAUAAAAGCUCCAUUUCAGGAACCGAACAGGAAAUAUUCCAAGUAGAAUUAAAUCUUCAAAAUCCUUCCCUGAAUCAUCAAGGGAUUGAUAAAAUAUAUGACUGCCAAGGUUUACUGCCACCUCCAGAGAAGCUCACUGCCGAGGUCCUAGGAAUCAUUUGCAUUGUCCUGAUGGCCACUGUGUUAAAAACAAUAGUUCUUAUUCCUUUCCUGGAGCAGAACAAUUCUUCCCCGAAUACAAGAACGCAGAAAGCACGUCAUUGUGGCCAUU
RNAcentral lists this long non-coding RNA (339 nucleotides) under Homo sapiens (human). RNAcentral's name for it is "HSALNT0185555". The record is from RNAcentral. Lineage: Eukaryota; Metazoa; Chordata; Mammalia; Primates; Hominidae.